CCUACGGGUGGCAGCAGUGGGGAAUAUUGGGCAAUGGGCGCAAGCCUGACCCAGCAACGCCGCGUGAAGGAAGAAGGCUUUCGGGUUGUAAACUUCUUUUGUCAGGGACGAAGCAAGUGACGGUACCUGACGAAUAAGCCACGGCUAACUACGUGCCAGCAGCCGCGGUAAUACGUAGGUGGCAAGCGUUAUCCGGAUUUACUGGGUGUAAAGGGCGUGUAGGCGGGGAAGGAAGUCAGAUGUGAAAACCACGGGCUCAACCUGUGGCUUGCAUUUGAAACUGUUUUUCUUGAGUACUGGAGAGGCAGACGGAAUGCCUGGUGUAGCGGUGAAAUGCGUAGAUAUUAGGCGGAACACCAGUGGCGAAGGCGGUCUGCCGGACAGCUACUGACGCUGAGGCGCGAAAGCGUGGGGAGCAAACAGGAUUAGAUACCCCGGUAGUC
RNAcentral lists this ribosomal RNA (443 nucleotides) under uncultured bacterium. Its description in RNAcentral is "partial 16S ribosomal RNA". It matches the Rfam family "Bacterial small subunit ribosomal RNA", at positions 338 to 795 of the family's 1533-position model. The record is from RNAcentral.